GACGAACGCUGGCGGCGUGCUUAACACAUGCAAGUCGAACGGAAAGGCCCUGCUUUUGUGGGGUGCUCGAGUGGCGAACGGGUGAGUAACACGUGAGUAACCUGCCCUUGACUUUGGGAUAUCUUCAGGAAACUGGGGCUAAUACCGGAUAGGAGCUCCUGCUGCAUGGUGGGGGUUGGAAAGUUUCGGCGGUUGGGGAUGGACUCGCGGCUUAUCAGCUUGUUGGUGGGGUAGUGGCUUACCAAGGCUUUGACGGGUAGCCGGCCUGAGAGGGUGACCGGCCACAUUGGGACUGAGAUACGGCCCAGACUCCUACGGGAGGCAGCAGUGGGGAAUAUUGCACAAUGGGCGGAAGCCUGAUGCAGCAACGCCGCGUGCGGGAUGACGGCCUUCGGGUUGUAAACCGCUUUCGCCUGUGACGAAGCGUGAGUGACGGUAAUGGGUAAAGAAGCACCGGCUAACUACGUGCCAGCAGCCGCGGUGAUACGUAGGGUGCGAGCGUUGUCCGGAUUUAUUGGGCGUAAAGGGCUCGUAGGUGGUUGAUCGCGUCGGAAGUGUAAUCUUGGGGCUUAACCCUGAGCGUGCUUUCGAUACGGGUUGACUUGAGGAAGGUAGGGGAGAAUGGAAUUCCUGGUGGAGCGGUGGAAUGCGCAGAUAUCAGGAGGAACACCAGUGGCGAAGGCGGUUCCCUGGGCCUUUCCUGACGCUGAGGAGCGAAAGCGUGGGGAGCGAACAGGCUUAGAUACCCUGGUAGUCCACGCUGUAAACGGUGGGUACUAGGUGUGGGGUCCAUUCCACGGGUUCCGUGCCGUAGCUAACGCUUUAAGUACCCCGCCUGGGGAGUACGGCCGCAAGGCUAAAACUCAAAGGAAUUGACGGGGCCCCGCACAAGCGGCGGAGCAUGCGGAUUAAUUCGAUGCAACGCGUAGAACCUUACCUGGGUUUGACAUGGAUCGGGAGUGCUCAGAGAUGGGUGUGCCUCUUUUGGGGUCGGUUCACAGGUGGUGCAUGGCUGUCGUCAGCUCGUGUCGUGAGAUGUUGGGUUAAGUCCCGCAACGAGCGCAACCCUUGUUCACUGUUGCCAGCACGUUAUGGUGGGGACUCAGUGGAGACCGCCGGGGUCAACUCGGAGGAAGGUGGGGAUGACGUCAAGUCAUCAUGCCCCUUAUGUCCAGGGCUUCACGCAUGCUACAAUGGCUGGUACAGAGAGUGGCGAGCCUGUGAGGGUGAGCGAAUCUCGGAAAGCCGGUCUCAGUUCGGAUUGGGGUCUGCAACUCGACCUCAUGAAGUCGGAGUCGCUAGUAAUCGCAGAUCAGCAACGCUGCGGUGAAUACGUUCCCGGGGCU
Molecule: ribosomal RNA, 1346 nt
Filed under: uncultured bacterium
Lineage: Bacteria
Description: partial 16S ribosomal RNA
Rfam family: Bacterial small subunit ribosomal RNA
Source: RNAcentral